CCUACGGGAGGCAGCAGUGGGGAAUUUUGGACAAUGGGCGCAAGCCUGAUCCAGCAAUGCCGCGUGAGUGAAGAAGGCCUUCGGGUUGUAAAGCUCUUUUGUCAGGGAAGAAACGGCUGAGGUUAAUACCUUUGGCUAAUGACGGUACCUGAAGAAUAAGCACCGGCUAACUACGUGCCAGCAGCCGCGGUAAUACGUAGGGUGCAAGCGUUAAUCGGAAUUACUGGGCGUAAAGCGUGCGCAGGCGGUUUUGUAAGUCUGACGUGAAAUCCCCGGGCUCAACCUGGGAAUUGCGUUGGAGACUGCAAGGCUGGAGUCUGGCAGAGGGGGGUAGAAUUCCACGUGUAGCAGUGAAAUGCGUAGAGAUGUGGAGGAACACCGAUGGCGAAGGCAGCCCCCUGGGUCAAGACUGACGCUCAUGCACGAAAGCGUGGGGAGCAAACAGGAUUAGAUACCCUGGUAGUCCACGCCCUAAACGAUGUCUACUAGUUGUCGGGUCUUAAUUGACUUGGUAACGCAGCUAACGCGUGAAGUAGACCGCCUGGGGAGUACGGUCGCAAGAUUAAAACUAAAUGAAUUGACGG
RNAcentral lists this ribosomal RNA (584 nucleotides) under uncultured bacterium. RNAcentral's name for it is "bacterial SSU rRNA". It matches the Rfam family "Bacterial small subunit ribosomal RNA", at positions 338 to 916 of the family's 1533-position model. The record is from RNAcentral.